RNAcentral lists this unclassified non-coding RNA (1801 nucleotides) under Hevea brasiliensis (rubber tree). The record is from RNAcentral. Lineage: Eukaryota; Viridiplantae; Streptophyta; Magnoliopsida; Malpighiales; Euphorbiaceae.
UAGCGAGAUAAAUCCACCGAGGUAGAAAAUAUAAGCAGGAGAUUGGAAGUGAAUUAAAUCUGAAACUAUGCAAUGGGAGAAAAAUAUCUCUCUCACGGUGUUCCUUGCCUGCUCAAUGAAGCAUUCUAAAAUAAUACAUCAUGUCCUCCUGUAAGAAAUUCAAUGAGGGAGAAAAAAGAGCACGAAGAAAAAUCCAUGCAAGGAAAACAAAACAAAAAAAACUAAACACUCUUUUUAAAUUAUAAAUCUGCAGAUUUCUAGCCUUCCAUUUAGGCUAUGAUGAAGAUCCUGGAACAUGGUCAAGGAUAGAAAGCUUCCUUCAAUUGCAAAGAAGUUACGAAACUUUCAAGCUUUUUAAUGCAGAAGCAAGCACAGGAACCUUUCCAGAAGCCCUAUGCUUGUAUUCUUUCUCCAAGGCUGCAGUUGCAAGAGAUUGCAGGUCUGGGCUAUCCUUGUCUUCCUUGUUUCGCCCUUUUGUAAGUUGUGCGAUGGCAGAUGUACACAAACAAAUACCAAAAAGCGCUCUGGUGUUCUUGCCCCCAGUCAAGUCUAUUGUUGAUGAAUAAUAUUUCUUUGCUGCCUGAAGGUUUUCUAGUCCACCAAGUGUGUACAGCACAUCAGCAUAGGCUAAAUGAUAUAGUGGGACUGUAGGCUGAGAUAGUAUUAACUCCUCAUAGCAGAAAGCUGCUUGCUUGUACAUCUGUAAGGAAACAUAUAUCUCAGCAAGUUCUCUCCAGGCAUCAGAAUCUGCCAUAAAUAUUUCUAGAUAUUUGUUGAGAAAUUCAAUAGCUUCUGACACUUUGCCUUGUGCCUUUGCCAAAGCAACCCUCCUUUUAUGUAUUACCUGAUCCAAUGGAUUAUCCUCUAGCAAGCUUAAGUAAGCCUUUUCUGCCUCUGUCCAAGAUCCCUUUGCUUCGAGUAACAUCCCCUCCAGCCCGCCAACUCUUUUGCUCUCUGGAAAUCUUUUCUGCAACACAUUAAUGCAAUCCUUUGCAACAUCAAGAGAUUGGCAGUCCAUAGCCGCAAUUGCCACCUGUUCGUAAAGAGUCCAUUCUACAUCAAGAAAUGAACACCUACCGGUUAGAAGUACCAUCCAAUAAUUGUAGAGCUAUACCUCUCUAAAAAGGGGAGGAAAGCAUUGAAGAAAACCGUAAAUUACGGAGAAAACCAGAAGUCUUUCAAUUUUCGGGUACGCGAUCACACUUUCUUUUCACAGCAGUGCCAGUCUACAAGACUAACAUAAAACAGGCUCCAAUCCAACCCAAUCAGAAACAAUCUUAAACCUCCAAAUAUAACAAUGAGAAAAAAACCUCCAAAUCCAAAAUUUCAUGCCCGCAAACUUAGAACUCAUCAAAAUAUUGGAAAAACUGAAAAUUCACCACAAUUAUGGAAAACCCAAUAGAGCAAAUCGAAAGAGAAAGGAACCCAGAAAUACAGAGAAAGGAACCCAGAAAUACUCACCAUCAUGACCGAGACUAGAUCUCUUCUUGGGGUCAUUCAAGAUGGAUAAACCAUGCUUCAAGACCUUUUCAGAACGCCUAACCUUGAGCUUCCUGACCAAACAGAGAUAAUCCCAAGCGCCACCUCCUCCAUGCUCCAACUGACUCUCAAGCCUAUUCAACUGUGUCUCCUCUGUUUUGGUCACCAUAGUGGACUCAAAAUUCUGUCACUCCGCCUCCUUUGUUUCUGUCAGCGUUCCCUGGCCGGCUUUCGGACCUGUCGUAGUUAAUGUUCGGACGAGUGUGAACUGAGUCGGAAGUGUCCCAGUUUUGUACGUUUGAGGGUUGAUCCAAGGGCAUGG